AGCGAACGUUAGCGGCGGGCUUAACACAUGCAAGUCGAGCGAGAAAGUGGCUUCGGCCAUCAGUAAAGCGGCGGACGGGUGAGUAACACGUAGGUAAUCUUCCCUUGAGCGGGGGACAACGAGCCGAAAGGCUCGCUAAUACCGCAUAAGUUCCCAGGGUCUUCGGGCCUUGGGAGGAAAGCUAGGUAGCAAUAUCCGGCACUCGAGGAGGAGCCUGCGUCGCAUCAGCUAGUUGGUGGGGUAAUGGCCUACCAAGGCGAAGACGCGUAGCUGGUCUGAGAGGAUGAUCAGCCACACUGAAACUGAGACACGGUUCAGACUCCUACGGGAGGCAGCAGUGGGGAAUAUUGGACAAUGGGCGCAAGCCUGAUCCAGCCACGCCGCGUGAGUGAUGAA
Molecule: ribosomal RNA, 396 nt
Filed under: uncultured bacterium
Lineage: Bacteria
Description: bacterial SSU rRNA
Rfam family: Bacterial small subunit ribosomal RNA
Source: RNAcentral